RNAcentral lists this ribosomal RNA (254 nucleotides) under uncultured bacterium. Its description in RNAcentral is "partial 16S ribosomal RNA". It matches the Rfam family "Bacterial small subunit ribosomal RNA", at positions 524 to 776 of the family's 1533-position model. The record is from RNAcentral.
GACGUAGGGUCCAAGCGUUGUCCGGAUUUACUGGGCGUAAAGAGCGCGUAGGCGGUCUGUUAAGUGAGAAGUGAAAUCUCCAGGGCUCAACCCGGAAACUGCUUUUCAUACUGGCAGACUUGAGGGAUGCAGAGGUGAAUGGAAUUCCUGGUGUAGCGGUGAAAUGCGUUGAUAUCAGGAGGAACACCGAUGGCGAAGGCAGGUCUCUGGGCCACUACUGACGCUGAGAAGCGAAAGCAUGGGGAGCGAACAGG